UACGGAGGGGGCUAGCGUUGUUCGGAAUUACUGGGCGUAAAGCGCGCGUAGGCGGACCUGCAAGUCGGGGGUUGAAAGCCCGAGGCUCAACCUCGGAACUGCCUUCGAUACUGCGGGUCUCGAGUCCGGGAGAGGUGAGUGGAAUUCCUUAGUGUAGAGGUGAAAUUCGUAGAUAUUAGGAAGAAACACCACGUGGGCGGAAGGACGGCUC
RNAcentral lists this ribosomal RNA (211 nucleotides) under uncultured bacterium. RNAcentral describes it as "partial 16S ribosomal RNA". It matches the Rfam family "Bacterial small subunit ribosomal RNA", at positions 524 to 727 of the family's 1533-position model. The record is from RNAcentral.